Molecule: ribosomal RNA, 320 nt
Filed under: uncultured eukaryote
Lineage: Eukaryota
Description: partial 18S ribosomal RNA
Rfam family: Eukaryotic small subunit ribosomal RNA
Source: RNAcentral
CCCCUAGAUGUUCUGGGCCGCACGCGCGCUACACUGAACAGUUCAACAAGUCUUAACCUUGGCCGAUAGGUCUGGGUAAUCUUUGAACGCUGUUCGUGAUUGGGAUAGACCUUUGCAAUUAUGGGUCUUCAACGAGGAAUUCCUAGUAAACGCAAGUCAUCAGCUUGCAUUGAUUACGUCCCUGCCCUUUGUACACACCGCCCGUCGCACCUACCGAUUGAGUGGUCCGGUGAAGCCUCGGGACGGCGGCUUGGUCGCUUGCGUCCGACUGCUGAAACUUGAUUAAACCAUAUCAUUUAGAGGAAGGUGAAGUCGUAACA